GUAGUUUGAUAUUGAGUGUCUGUACCGCAUGUACAGGAUAGGUAGGAGCCGUAGAAGUCGGAACGCUAGUUUCGAUGGAGGCGCUGGUGGGAUACUACCCCUGCGUUAUGGCCACUCUAACCCGCACCACUUAUCGUGGUGGGAGACAGUGUCAGAUGGGCAGUUUGACUGGGGCGGUCGCCUCCUAAAGAGUAACGGAGGCGCCCAAAGGUUCCCUCAGAAUGGUUGGAAAUCAUUCGAAGAGUGUAAAGGCAGAAGGGAGCUUGACUGCGAGACCUACAAGUCGAGCAGGGACGAAAGU
This 301-nucleotide ribosomal RNA is filed under the name Enterococcus mundtii. Its description in RNAcentral is "bacterial LSU rRNA". It matches the Rfam family "Bacterial large subunit ribosomal RNA", at positions 2106 to 2406 of the family's 2925-position model. Lineage: Bacteria; Bacillati; Bacillota; Bacilli; Lactobacillales; Enterococcaceae. The record is from RNAcentral.